GCUUACCAAGACCGUGAUGCGUAGCCGGACUGAGAGGUUGAACGGCCACAUUGGGACUGAGAGACGGCCCAAACUCCUACGGGAGGCAGCAGUAGGGAAUUUUCGGCAAUGGGGGAAACCCUGACCGAGCAACGCCGCGUGAAUGACGAAGUACUUCGGUAUGUAAAGUUCUUUUAUUGGGGAAGAAUGGCUGGUGGAAAAACCAGAGUGACGGUACCUAAUGAAUAAGCCCCGGCUAACUAUGUGCCAGCAGCCGCGGUAAUACAUAGGGGGCAAGCGUUAUCCGGAAUUAUUGGGCGUAAAGGGUGCGUAGGUGGUUGAUUAAGUCUUUGGUGUAAGUGCAGUGCUUAACGCUGUGAUGCUAAAGAAACUGGUUAACUUGAGUGUGGUAGAGGCAAGUGGAAUUCCAUGUGUAGCGGUAAAAUGCGUAAAUAUAUGGAGGAACACCAGUGGCGAAGGCGGCUUGCUGGGCCACAACUGACACUGAGGCACGAAAGCGUGGGGAGCAAACAGGAUUAGAUACCCUGGUAGUCCACGCCGUAAACGAUGAGUACUAAGUGUUGGAGAAAUUCAGUGCUGUAGUUAACGCAAUAAGUACUCCGCCUGAGUAGUACGUGCGCAAGCAUGAAACUCAAAGGAAUUGACGGGACCCCGCACAAGCGGUGGAUCAUGUUGUUUAAUUCGACGAUACGCGAAGAACCUUACCAGGUCUUGACAUCCCCUGCAAAGCUAUGGAGACAUAGCGGAGGUUAUCAGGAGACAGGUGGUGCAUGGUUGUCGUCAGCUCGUGUCGUGAGAUGUUGGGUAA
RNAcentral lists this ribosomal RNA (808 nucleotides) under uncultured bacterium. RNAcentral describes it as "bacterial SSU rRNA". It matches the Rfam family "Bacterial small subunit ribosomal RNA", at positions 263 to 1082 of the family's 1533-position model. The record is from RNAcentral.